GGAAUCUUCCACAAUGGGCGAAAGCCUGAUGGAGCAACGCCGCGUGUGUGAUGAAGGGUUUCGGCUCGUAAAACACUGUUGUAAGAGAAGAAUGACAUUGAGAGUAACUGUUCAUACGUUGACGGUAUUUAACCAGAAAGUCACGGCUAACUACGUGCCAG
This 161-nucleotide ribosomal RNA is filed under the name uncultured bacterium. Its description in RNAcentral is "partial 16S rRNA". It matches the Rfam family "Bacterial small subunit ribosomal RNA", at positions 358 to 511 of the family's 1533-position model. The record is from RNAcentral.